GUUUCUUCAGGUGUUUCCUUCUGCCCAUGUUGCCCUCUCGCUUUGAGAGUACAAAUACAUGGGUGUGAGGUAAUGAAUGGUUAAAGGUGCAGGGUGAGCAGGGAUGGCUUGCAUGUCUGGUAGGCUGCUUCUCCGACGACCUAUCAGAUUUCAACAUCAUUACUUGUUCCUUGCAGUUAGAUGUCUACUGGCUACCUAAUGAAGUUUUGAACGAAGUUCAAAGUUUUGAAUGAAGUUUUGAACGAUAGUCAGCAUCUUUGCAUCCAAAAGUCACGGAUCUCAAGAAAUUUUUCUACCACAUGUUCAACAAGUGAGUUCUUGCCCUGUGCCUGUACCUGUGCUAUAUCCCUGGAGCACACAGAAAUGCUAGCCAGAUCAGCAUGUUUUGGGGGCAAAACAUACACGGGUGCUGAGUUCAUGGCCACUCGUUUGCUAGCACUGAGUGAGUUUGGACAUGAGGCUGCACACUUUCAUCUGUGCACUUGAAAGCACAUGUCUCAAAAGUAUCUAGUCCUUGAAAUGCCGGAGAGGGAGGAUGUAGAACAAAUAGCAAAGUAAGUUUAAUGCCUUCAUGUGUAGAAUUUGCAUUCUGAUUUCAGCGGUAGCU
This 607-nucleotide long non-coding RNA is filed under the name Struthio camelus australis. RNAcentral describes it as "lncRNA (ENSSCUG00000010257.1)". The record is from RNAcentral. Lineage: Eukaryota; Metazoa; Chordata; Aves; Struthioniformes; Struthionidae.